This 253-nucleotide ribosomal RNA is filed under the name uncultured bacterium. Its description in RNAcentral is "partial 16S ribosomal RNA". It matches the Rfam family "Bacterial small subunit ribosomal RNA", at positions 524 to 776 of the family's 1533-position model. The record is from RNAcentral.
GACAGAGGCCCCAAGCGUUAGGCGGAAUCACUGGGCUUAAAGCGUGUGUAGGCGGACACCUAAGUGUCUAGUGAAAUCCCACGGCUCACCCGUGGAACUGCUGGGCAUACUGGGCGUCUUGGGCCAACUAGGGGCAGCCGGAACAAGCGGUGGAGCGGUGAAAUGCGUAGAUAUCGCUUGGAACGCCGAAGGUGAAAACAGGCUGCUGGGGUUGUGCCGACGCUGAGACACGAAAGCCAGGGGAGCAAACGGG